RNAcentral lists this ribosomal RNA (649 nucleotides) under uncultured bacterium. RNAcentral's name for it is "bacterial SSU rRNA". It matches the Rfam family "Bacterial small subunit ribosomal RNA", at positions 8 to 638 of the family's 1533-position model. The record is from RNAcentral.
AGAGUUUGAUCCUGGCUCAGAAUCAACGCUGGCGGCGUGCCUAACACAUGCAAGUCGAACGAGAACGGUUUCCCGGUAGCAAUACUGGGAGACCAAGUAAAGUGGCGAACGGGUGAGUAACACGUAGCCAACCUGCCCUUCAGUGGGGGAUAACCCUGCGAAAGCGGAGCUAAUACCGCAUACAGUCCCCGGGGCACAGGCUCUGGGGAGCAAAGCCGGUAACGGUGCUGAAGGAGGGGGCUGCGGCCGAUUAGUUAGUUGGUAGGGUAACGGCCUACCAAGGCUCCGAUCGGUAGCCGGCCUGAGAGGGCGCACGGCCACACUGGAACUGAAACACGGUCCAGACUCCUACGGGAGGCAGCAGUGGGGAAUUUUGCACAAUGCCCGAAAGGGUGAUGCAGCAACGCCGCGUGGAGGAUGAAGGUCCUCGGAUCGUAAACUCCUUUCGACCCGGAAGAAGGCCCGGUGAUGAGCCGGGAUUGACGGUACGGGUGGAAGAAGCCCCGGCCAACUACGUGCCAGCAGCCGCGGUAAUACGUAGGGGGCAAGCGUUGUUCGGAAUUACUGGGCGUAAAGGGCGCGUAGGCGGCCCGGCAAGUCUCGUGUGAAAUCUCCCCGCUUAACGGGGAGGGGUCGCGGGAAACCGUCG